GUGGGGAAUCUUGCGCAAUGGGCGAAAGCCUGACGCAGCCAUGCCGCGUGAAUGAUGAAGGUCUUAGGAUUGUAAAAUUCUUUCACCGGGGACGAUAAUGACGGUACCCGGAGAAGAAGCCCCGGCUAACUUCGUGCCAGCAGCCGCGGUAAUACGAAGGGGGCUAGCGUUGCUCGGAAUUACUGGGCGUAAAGGGCGCGUAGGCGGACAGUUUAGUCAGAGGUGAAAGCCCAGGGCGCAACCUUGGAAUUGCCUUUGAUACUGGCUGUCUUGAGUACGGGAGAGGUGAGUGGAACUCCGAGUGUAGAGGUGAAAUUCGUAGAUAUUCGGAAGAACACCAGUGGCGAAGGCGACUCACUGGCCCGUUACUGACGCUGAGGCGCGAAAGCGUGGGGAGCAAACAGGAUUAGAUACCCGGGUAGUCC
This 425-nucleotide ribosomal RNA is filed under the name uncultured bacterium. Its description in RNAcentral is "partial 16S ribosomal RNA". It matches the Rfam family "Bacterial small subunit ribosomal RNA", at positions 354 to 796 of the family's 1533-position model. The record is from RNAcentral.